Molecule: non-coding RNA, 83 nt
Filed under: uncultured Phascolarctobacterium sp.
Lineage: Bacteria; Bacillati; Bacillota; Negativicutes; Acidaminococcales; Acidaminococcaceae
Description: Glycine riboswitch
Rfam family: Glycine riboswitch aptamer (bases 7-80)
About the family: This family represents the bacterial glycine riboswitch. Glycine riboswitches usually consist of two metabolite-binding aptamers domains with similar structures in tandem. The aptamers cooperatively bind glycine to regulate the expression of downstream genes.
Source: RNAcentral
ACACAGCUCUGGAGAGCUCCUUAAGUGGACGCCGAAGGUGAAAGGGCUCAUGCCCCAAUCUCUCAGGCAAAAGGACAGAGAAG